This 498-nucleotide ribosomal RNA is filed under the name uncultured Glomeromycotina. Its description in RNAcentral is "partial small subunit ribosomal RNA". It matches the Rfam family "Eukaryotic small subunit ribosomal RNA", at positions 591 to 1092 of the family's 1831-position model. The record is from RNAcentral. Lineage: Eukaryota; Fungi; Glomeromycota.
CCAAUAGCGUAUAUUAAAGUUGCUGCAGUUAAAAAGCUCGUAGUUGAAUUUCGGGACUAAUAUGUCGGUCGUGCCUCGGUACGUACUGGCUUAUUGGUUUCUCCUUUCUGAAGAACCAUGAUGUCAUUUAUUUGGUGUCGUGGGGAAUCAGGACUGUUACUUUGAAAAAAUUAGAGUGUUUAAAGCAGGCACACGCUUGAAUAAAUUAGCAUGGAAUAAUGAAAUAGGACGUUUGAUUCUAUUUUGUUGGUUUCUAGGAUCGACGUAAUGAUUAAUAGGGAUAGUUGGGGGCAUUAGGAUUCAAUUGUCAGAGGUGAAAUUCUUGGAUUUAUUGAAGACUACCUACUGCGAAAGCAUUUGCCAAGGAUGUUUUCAUUAAUCAAGAACGAAAGUUAGGGGAUCGAAGACGAUCAGAUACCGUCGUAGUCUUAACCAUAAACUAUGCCGACUAGGGAUCGGAUGAUGUUAAUUUUUUAAUGACUCAUUCGGCGCCUUACG